RNAcentral lists this ribosomal RNA (253 nucleotides) under uncultured bacterium. RNAcentral's name for it is "partial 16S ribosomal RNA". It matches the Rfam family "Bacterial small subunit ribosomal RNA", at positions 524 to 776 of the family's 1533-position model. The record is from RNAcentral.
GACAGAGGCCUCGAGCGUUAGGCGGAAUCACUGGGCUUAAAGCGUGUGUAGGCGGGCCCGUAAGUGUCUUGUGAAAUCCCACGGCUCAACCGUGGAACUGCUGGGCAUACUGCGGGUCUUGGGCCAACUAGGGGCAGCCGGAACAAGCGGUGGAGCGGUGAAAUGCGUAGAUAUCAUUUGGAACGCCAAUGGUGAAAACAGGUAGCUGGGAGUGUGCUGACACUGAGACACGAAAGCCAGGGGAGCGAACGGG